GGAGGAAGCUGAGCUAGGUACCGAUGAAAAAUCAGCAGCAGGAGCUGAAGUGGCGGUUCCCCUUCUUUAGGAACUAAAAACCUGGUUGGGAAGAAAAUACUUGGUGGGUGCAAACAGACAGAGUGCAGAUUAAAAGACAGGCAGUUAACCAGAGCCGUGGGAGCCCAGAUCCGGAGGCUGCGAAGCCGGAGACUUCUCCAGAAGAGGAGGAUCGGGGCUUGGUCCUGAAAUGUGGGCGGGGCCUGGAAAGAGAGGAAGGCCAAGGGGCUUCUCAGCAGGGGAAGAGAGCUGGAGCAAGGCAGGCUGGGAAGACACAUGCCUGGGGAACAGUGCUUCAGUCAGUGCUUAAGGCGUCCCCAGAGAUGAGCCGGAGAGGGGCAGUGUGGAGGCCUGGAUGGAAGUGACGCCUGAGGGAGGCCGAGCUGGAGGCAGACGCGGGGUUUGAGAAGGCUGCUGCACCAAAUUCAGUCUCCAGUCCUACUUUGGAGCAUUUGGGAAGUCCAGCAUCUUGAUCUAUCUUUUUGGGGCUGCUUCAUGUGGAAGAUGAAGGCAGUUUCAGCAAAUGAUUUCCAGCAGUUGUCCAAGUGCUUUGACAGAUUUCUGCUUCUGAGACUGCCCUGUUGGGGAACUGAAGGGGUUGGCAUGAUCAGAUGUAGUGUAUUUUAUGAAAGUGUUCAAGACGCCCACGAGUGGAAAAUGCAGUCUCCGCAGCCAAAUCAAACUUCGCCAGAUUCCUUACAGCUGUGAGCGUUGAAAUGA
Molecule: non-coding RNA, 759 nt
Organism: Manis javanica (Malayan pangolin)
Lineage: Eukaryota; Metazoa; Chordata; Mammalia; Pholidota; Manidae
Source: RefSeq, a predicted model, not a curated record